GCUAGCAGCCAUUUUACCCUGUAACUCACAACUGACAGCCCACUGAAGCUAAGCAGGGCUGAGCCUGGUCAGUACCUGGAUGGGAGACCUCCUGGGAAGCUAUGGUUGCUGCUGGAA
This 117-nucleotide ribosomal RNA is filed under the name Lepisosteus oculatus (spotted gar). The record is from RNAcentral. Lineage: Eukaryota; Metazoa; Chordata; Actinopteri; Semionotiformes; Lepisosteidae.